UACGUAGGGUGCAAGCGUUAAUCGGAAUUACUGGGCGUAAAGCGUGCGCAGGCGGUGAUGUAAGACAGAUGUGAAAUCCCCGGGCUCAACCUGGGAACUGCAUUUGUGACUGCAUCGCUGGAGUGCGGCAGAGGGGGAUGGAAUCCGCGUGUAGCAGUGAAAUGCGUAGAUAUGCGGAGGAACACCGAUGGCGAAGGCAAUCCCCUGGGCCUGCACUGACGCUCAUGCACGAAAGCGUGGGGAGCAAACAGG
RNAcentral lists this ribosomal RNA (252 nucleotides) under uncultured bacterium. RNAcentral describes it as "partial 16S ribosomal RNA". It matches the Rfam family "Bacterial small subunit ribosomal RNA", at positions 524 to 776 of the family's 1533-position model. The record is from RNAcentral.